Molecule: ribosomal RNA, 306 nt
Filed under: Metapenaeus ensis
Lineage: Eukaryota; Metazoa; Arthropoda; Malacostraca; Decapoda; Penaeidae
Description: partial 16S ribosomal RNA
Source: RNAcentral
GGAGGCUUGUAUGAAUGGUUGGACAAAAAAUAAGCUGUCUCUGUUUUAUUUCUUGAAUUUAACUUUUAAGUGAAAAGGCUUARAUGUUCUAGGGGGACGAUAAGACCCUAUAAAGCUUUACAGUGUGCUAAUUAAAUUAUAAAUUGUUAGUAUAAACUUGGUUUGGUUAGUAGCUGUUUCGUUGGGGCGACGAAAAUAUAAUUGAUAGUAACUGUUUUUCUUUUAUAAUAACAAUAAAUUUUUGGUAGAAAUUGAUCCUUUAUUAAAGAUUAAAAGAUUAAGUUACUUUAGGGAUAACAGCGUAAU